Molecule: ribosomal RNA, 253 nt
Filed under: uncultured bacterium
Lineage: Bacteria
Description: partial 16S ribosomal RNA
Rfam family: Bacterial small subunit ribosomal RNA
Source: RNAcentral
UACGUAGGGACCAAGCGUUGUUCGGAUUUACUGGGCGUAAAGAGCGCGCAGGCGGUCGGUCAAGUCGCGUGUGAAAGCCCCCGGCUCAACUGGGGAGGGUCACGCGAUACUGAUCGACUCGAAGGCAGGAGAGGGUAGUGGAAUUCCCGGUGUAGUGGUGAAAUGCGUAGAUAUCGGGAGGAACACCAGUGGCGAAGGCGACUACCUGGCCUGUUCUUGACGCUGAGGCGCGAAAGCUAGGGGAGCAAACGGG